RNAcentral lists this ribosomal RNA (273 nucleotides) under uncultured bacterium. RNAcentral's name for it is "partial 16S ribosomal RNA". It matches the Rfam family "Bacterial small subunit ribosomal RNA", at positions 524 to 796 of the family's 1533-position model. The record is from RNAcentral.
GACAGAGGGGGCAAGCGUUGUCCGGAAUUACUGGGCGUAAAGCGCACGUAGGUGGCGCGUUGCGUCGGUGCUGAAAGCGCCGGGCUUAACCCGGCGAGGUGCGCCGAUACGAGCGCGCUCGAGGCAGGGAGAGGGUGGCGGAAUUCCGGGUGUAGUGGUGAAAUGCGUAGAGAUCCGGAGGAACGCCAGUGACGAAGGUGGCCACCUGGCCCUCGCCUGACACUGAGGUGCGAUAGCGUGGGGAGCGAACCGGAUUAGAAACCCCAGUAGUCC